AUACGUAGGGGGCGAGCGUUGUCCGGAAUGAUUGGGCGUAAAAGGCGCGUAGGCGGCCCGGUAAGUCUGGAGUGAAAGUCCUGUUUUUAAGAUGGGAAUUGCUUUGGAUACUGUCGGGCUUGAGUGCAGGAGAGGUAAGUGGAAUUCCCAGUGUAGCGGUGAAAUGCGUAGAGAUUGGGAGGAACACCAGUGGCGAAGGCGACUUACUGGACUGUAACUGACGCUGAGGCGCGAAAGUGUGGGGAGCAAACAGGAUUAGAUACCCUGGUAGUCCACACUGUAAACGAUGAAUGCUAGGUGUAGGGGGUAUCGACCCCUUCUGUGCCGCAGUCAACACAAUAAGCAUUCCGCCUGGGGAGUACGGCCGCAAGGUUGAAACUCAAAGGAAUUGACGGGG
This 397-nucleotide ribosomal RNA is filed under the name uncultured bacterium. RNAcentral describes it as "partial 16S ribosomal RNA". It matches the Rfam family "Bacterial small subunit ribosomal RNA", at positions 523 to 918 of the family's 1533-position model. The record is from RNAcentral.